GAUGAACGCUGGCGGCGUGCCUAAUACAUGCAAGUCGAGCGAACAGUUAAGUUGCUUGCUCCUGUGACGUUAGUGGCGGACGGGUGAGUAACACGUGGAGAACCUACCUAUAAGGCUGGGAUAACUUCUGGAAAGCGGGGCUAAGACCGGAUAAAAGUAGGAGCCGGAUGGUUCUAAAGGGAAAGAUUGUUUUGCUAUCGCUUAUAGAUGUUACCGCGCCGUAGUAGCGUUGUGGGUAGGUAACGGCUUACCACGGCAACGAUACGUAGCCGACCAGGGAGGGUGAUAGGCCCCAAUGGAACAGAAACACGGUCCAGACUCCUACGGGGGGAAGCAGUAGGGAAUCGUCCGAAAUGGGAGAAAGCCUGACGGAGCAACGCGGGGUGAGUGAUGAAGGGUUUCGGCUCGUAAAACUCUGUUAUUAGGGAAGAACAAACGCGUAAGUAACUGUGCACGUCUUGACGGUACCUAAUCAGAAAGCCACGGCUAACUCCGUG
Molecule: ribosomal RNA, 497 nt
Filed under: uncultured bacterium
Lineage: Bacteria
Description: partial 16S ribosomal RNA
Rfam family: Bacterial small subunit ribosomal RNA
Source: RNAcentral